UGCAAGUCGAACGGAGCUUAGAGAGCUUGCUUUUUAAGCUUAGUGGCGAACGGGUGAGUAACGCGUGAGUAACCUGCCCUAGAGUGGGGGACAACAGUUGGAAACGACUGCUAAUACCGCAUAAGCCCACGGUGCCGCAUGACACUGAGGGAAAAGGAUUUAUUCGCUUUAGGAUGGACUCGCGUCCAAUUAGCUAGUUGGUGAGGUAACGGCCCACCAAGGCGACGAUUGGUAGCCGGACUGAGAGGUUGAACGGCCACAUUGGGACUGAGACACGGCCCAGACUCCUACGGGAGGCAGCAGUGGGGGAUAUUGCACAAUGGGGGAAACCCUGAUGCAGCGACGCCGCGUGGAGGAAGAAGGUUUUCGGAUUGUAAACUCCUGUCGUUAGGGACGAUAAUGACGGUGCCUAACAAGAAAGCACCGGCUAACUACAUGCCAGCAGCCGCGGUAAAACGUAGGGUGCAAGCGUUGUCCGGAAUUACUGGGUGUAAAGGGAGCGCAGGCGGGAAGACAAGUUGGAAGUGAAAACCAUGGGCUCAACCCAUGAAUUGCUUUCAAAACUGUUUUUCUUGAGUAGUGCAGAGGUAGAUGGAAUUCCCGGUGUAGCGGUGGAAUGCGUAGAUAUCGGGAGGAACACCAGUGGCGAAGGCGGUCUACUGGGCACCAACUGACGCUGAGGCUCGAAAGCAUGGGUAGCAAACAGGAUUAGAUACCCUGGUAGUCCAUGCCGUAAACGAUGGUUACUAGGUGUUGGGGGAUUGACCCCCUCAGUGCCGCAGUUAACACAAUAAGUAAUCCACCUGGGGAGUACGACCGCAAGGUUGAAACUCAAAGGAAUUGACGGGG
Molecule: ribosomal RNA, 849 nt
Filed under: uncultured bacterium
Lineage: Bacteria
Description: bacterial SSU rRNA
Rfam family: Bacterial small subunit ribosomal RNA
Source: RNAcentral